RNAcentral lists this ribosomal RNA (429 nucleotides) under Pseudomonadota bacterium. RNAcentral's name for it is "Proteobacteria bacterium partial 16S ribosomal RNA". It matches the Rfam family "Bacterial small subunit ribosomal RNA", at positions 355 to 776 of the family's 1533-position model. The record is from RNAcentral. Lineage: Bacteria; Pseudomonadati; Pseudomonadota.
UGGGGAAUAUUGGACAAUGGGCGAAAGCCUGAUCCAGCCAUGCCGCGUGUGUGAAGAAGGUCUUCGGAUUGUAAAGCACUUUAAGUUGGGAGGAAGGGCAGUAAGCGAAUACCUUGCUGUUUUGACGUUACCGACAGAAUAAGCACCGGCUAACUCUGUGCCAGCAGCCGCGGUAAUACAGAGGGUGCAAGCGUUAAUCGGAAUUACUGGGCGUAAAGCGCGCGUAGGUGGUUCGUUAAGUUGAAUGUGAAAGCCCCGGGCUCAACCUGGGAACUGCAUCCAAAACUGGCGAGCUAGAGUAGGGCAGAGGGUUGUGGAAUUUCCUGUGUAGCGGAGAAAUGCGUAGAUAUAGGAAGGAACACCAGUGGCGAAGGCGACCACCUGGGCUCAUACUGACACUGAGGUGCGAAAGCGUGGGGAGCAAACAGG